RNAcentral lists this transfer RNA (72 nucleotides) under Cordylochernes scorpioides. Its description in RNAcentral is "tRNA-Gly". The record is from RNAcentral. Lineage: Eukaryota; Metazoa; Arthropoda; Arachnida; Pseudoscorpiones; Chernetidae.
UGCAUCAGCCGGGCAAUCGAACCCGGGCCGCCCGCAUGGCAGGCGAGCAUUCUACCACUGAACCACCGAUGC